This 253-nucleotide ribosomal RNA is filed under the name uncultured bacterium. RNAcentral's name for it is "partial 16S ribosomal RNA". It matches the Rfam family "Bacterial small subunit ribosomal RNA", at positions 524 to 776 of the family's 1533-position model. The record is from RNAcentral.
UACGUAGGGUGCAAGCGUUGUCCGGAAUUAUUGGGCGUAAAGAGCUCGUAGGCGGUCUGUCGCGUCGGCUGUGAAAUCCCGAGGCUCAACCUCGGGUCUGCAGUCGAUAUGGGCAAACUAGAGUAUUGCAGGGGAGACUGGAAUUCCUGGUGUAGCGGUGAAAUGCGCAGAUAUCAGGAGGAACACCGGUGGCGAAGGCGGGUCUCUGGGCAAUAACUGACGCUGAGGAGCGAAAGCGUGGGGAGCGAACAGG